This is a long non-coding RNA of Octopus bimaculoides (California two-spot octopus), 312 nucleotides long. RefSeq lists it as uncharacterized. The record is from RefSeq and is a predicted model, not a curated record. Lineage: Eukaryota; Metazoa; Mollusca; Cephalopoda; Octopoda; Octopodidae.
CUGUAGGGCAUAUAAAGAAACACCUACUGGUUCAACAUGAAUUUUACAUUCUUUCUCAUCAUCUUGGGAAUACUAAUGAUACUUGCCCUAACCGAAGGCGAUUAUUCGGCAUGUCGUGCGAUUUGCCAGAAACAACAUCUGCCAGGUGGAAAGGGUAAUGAUCACGCUGCUUUUUUUCAGUGUCUCCAACAGAAAUGUCAAUGUAUGUAAAUUGUGUACAGAUCAGUGAAUAAAAUCAAUAAACAAUAUGCGAUAUUAUAAGCAAUGAUUUUAAGGAGAACAUACAUACAGUCUCCGAACAGAAUCGAAGAA